AACGAACGCUGGCGGCGCGCCUAAUACAUGCAAGUCGAGCGAGAAGACGUAGCAAUACGUUUGUAAAGCGGCGAACGGGUGAGGAAUGCAUGGGUAACCUACCCUCGAGUGGGGAAUAACUAGCCGAAAGGUUAGCUAAUACCGCGUACGCUCCUUGGACUUCGGUUCAGGGAGGAAAGCGAUACCGUGGGUAUCGCGCUCUUGGAUGGGCUCAUGUCCUAUCAGCUUGUUGGCGAGGUAACGGCUCACCAAGGCUUCGACGGGUAGCUGGUCUGAGAGGACGAUCAGCCACAUUGGGACUGAGACACGGCCCAGACUCCUACGGGAGGCAGCAGUGGGGAAUAUUGCGCAAUGGACGAAAGUCUGACGCAGCGACGCCGCGUGUGGGAUGACGGUCUUCGGAUUGUAAACCACUGUCGGGAGGGACGAAUACGCCGC
RNAcentral lists this ribosomal RNA (438 nucleotides) under uncultured bacterium. Its description in RNAcentral is "bacterial SSU rRNA". It matches the Rfam family "Bacterial small subunit ribosomal RNA", at positions 29 to 457 of the family's 1533-position model. The record is from RNAcentral.